AAUAUUUUCCGUUCGCAGCGUGUUGUUAUGUGGCUGUUACAAUUUUUCUAGUUUUUUGAUAGAAAAAGUGAUUUUUCUGUACACUAUUUGAGUGUAUUCUGUUCCUUAAGGCCUGUUUAGUCUCCUGAAAAUGAGCGUUAUUAGUAAUAACAUAUAAGCACAUAAAGACCACUUAAUAGAAGAGAGCCCUUAUAUAAUCCUGAUAUUUGGCUAUCAUUCCGUUUUACGAGCUGGUCUUCUAUUAUCUGAUUGAAAAUUUUUUACAAUAAAUCGAUGGAUGUAAAUUGUUCCAGGGCAGUACAUUUAUCCUUUUGAUGAAUAUUACAAACAGCGCAUGAGGAUUUAUAAGUAUAUCUAAAAUUUUAUUUCUUUUGGGUAAAUAAAUUUAUUUUUUUGAUUUUUAAUGCUCAUCGAUCAGUGCAUAUCAUCAUUUUUAAAUUUAAUUAAGUAGGAAAAAAAUCCAAUUGGUCUUUCAAUUAUAUAUUUAUGGUUCCUUAUUAUCAUAGAUAAAUUCAAACCAUCUAUUUUCAUGUUGGGCCAUAUUUUGUCUUUUGGCAACUUCUUUUUUUCUUUGGUAUAAUACCAUCUACUUAGAACUUUACUUCAUGUUGUUUUUGGUUUACUUUCAUUUCACUAUAAUAGUUUGAUUCCCAUAUUUUCAUGAUUGUGGAAAUAAUAUCACCACUUGUCAAUGCAAUAAAAUAUUCUAUUGACUGUAUUUCUAUAGGUUUUAUUUGUUACGUAAAAUAUAUAUUAUAUAUUUUCCUAUAAUAGCUUAACUCCCAUAUUUUCUUCAUUGUGGGAAUAAUAUCAUUUCUAUUCUGUAAAACAUUCCAUUGACUGUAUUUUUAUAACUAUUCUUUUAUUUGUAUUCUUUUUUUAUGGUGUCAUUCUUCUAAUACAUUUUUGCUUGUGAAAUUUCUUACCCAGAAUUUUAGUUUUGAUGGAUUCAUUUUCAUGUAAUUUUUACAGACAUAUGCCAUGAAUUGGUGAAAUUUUAAGGAUUCUGUUGGUUUGGUUUGCCUGUGUUUAAAUAUAACUUAAACUCACAAUAACACACUUAAUUGUUUCACUAAAAGGACAAAUUUUCGAUUGAUUCCUGGCGCAUUCGCCAUUUAUUAAAAAAUCUGACAUCAACAGCUGAUGUCACUUCUGGCUUUUCUAGCAAUUUGCUAAUUAAUUUUCUUGAGUAAUAUCGACUCCAGAGCAUCAUAGCUAGCCUCUCCUAUGAGGAGGAGACCCGGGUCACCCCCUAACCUUGAUGUUCGGCCAUCGAUGACCUAUGUAGCAUGCAUAGGUACCCAAGGGAGUCACCACCCUCUGGUUUACGAGCUAGGUGUUCUAACGCUAGAGGCUUCGGCCGGAUACGACCUGGCACCCAAGCUACGAGACUUCUUCGUGCACGUAUCCCGUGACGUCUCGACAGUAGAGGGGCGGGAUAUCGGACACAUUGAAGAUGAUGAGGGGGGUCCGCCUGUAGGGGGUCCCGGUGGAUGUCCGCUCGAUGGGUGAUGAGGGUGACCCGAGACGAGGCUGCUUAGCUGGGAUGGGAACUGACUGGCGAGGCUUAAUCGUCGGCCAAGGGUUAAAUCUGAUGAAGGGGGGCGAACCUAUAUGCUUUGGAGGAUUUUUUGUUCAUGUGCUUGAUGUCAAAUUUUGACUAGAUAUUUCUGAGAGGAGGUUAAGCAUAACUUUUAGUCAUUUUUCAGUUCUUAUUGACCACAUACCUCUUUAUUUUUUAAUAUCAUCUAGAACCUUCUGGCCCAUGUUGUUUUUGGCCUACCUCUUACUAGUUUUGUCUGCCAUAUUUUCCUUAUUAUUGGAAUAUUAUCAUUCAUCACUGUCCUAUUGAUUGUCUUAUUAUUUAUAUACUUGUCUAUUUUUUGUGUAAUCCUUCUAAGAGUUCUAAGACAUAAUAUUUCAACAUUUCUAUUGCCUGUAUAUAUUUAUUUUUAAUUUGUUUUUAUGUCAUUAUUUCAGUAUGUAUAUAAUUACAUAUAUAUUUUUGGUAUCAUAAUAUUAUAUUCUAAAUUGUCACUCAUCUUCAUGCAUUUUUUUUUUCAAUUCCACAUACCUCUGUAUUUAUCUCUCUCUGUGACGUUCUGUGUCAAGACUUCUCUAAGGCAUUUUAUUUCUAUUGUCUAUAUAGAGUUGUAAGUUUGGAAACAUUUUCAUAAAUUUUCAAUUCAUCACACCAGACAGAGUACAACUAAAUAUAAUAUUUCUUAAAUAUAAUUUAUUUUUCUUCUAUGUUUGUUGUAUUUCUAAAUCUUUUCUUAAAAUUUGUUUUAUUGUUUAUUUUACUGCUAUUCUUCUAAGACUCCCAAAUUUUUGAUCUCAUUCCUAUUGAUGCCUACAUAUGUAAUAAAAAAAUAAAUAAUAACAUUGGUAUGGGAUAUUGUACUGCUUUGGAACAAAGACUGCUGUAACUACCCUUUUCAAGAUGCAAUUAUAUUAACUAAAUUCAACAUUCAACAGCGGAUUGAGAAGAAAUUCAUCAUUGAAAAGGAAGCUAAAUAAAUUUAGAAUCAAGACUUACAGGGUAGCUAGUAGUCCAGAAGAGUAGCUAUAGAAGAUUUAUUUACUUCCACAUAGACGUCAGCAUGUCCGCCAACACCUUAGAUUUUAAUAUACUUUUUAUAUUUUACUAUUGUUAAUAAAAUGUAAUGUGUUUAUGAUAUAAAGAUAUAAUAUAAUCAAUGAUAGCAAAAACAUGCCUUAAUCUUUGUUUUAAGGCAUUUUUCCUUAACACGGCAGUAUAUUAUACCGUAUGAUCGAAAAAAA
This 2784-nucleotide long non-coding RNA is filed under the name Sitophilus oryzae (rice weevil). RNAcentral's name for it is "uncharacterized LOC115887207". The record is from RNAcentral. Lineage: Eukaryota; Metazoa; Arthropoda; Insecta; Coleoptera; Curculionidae.